RNAcentral lists this ribosomal RNA (925 nucleotides) under uncultured Bacteroidota bacterium. RNAcentral's name for it is "bacterial SSU rRNA". It matches the Rfam family "Bacterial small subunit ribosomal RNA", at positions 1 to 917 of the family's 1533-position model. The record is from RNAcentral. Lineage: Bacteria; Pseudomonadati; Bacteroidota.
UGGAUCCAGACUUUGAUUCUGGCUCAGGAUGAACGCUAGCUACAGGCUUAACACAUGCAAGUCGAGGGGCAGCAUAUCAGUAGCUUGCUACUGGUGAUGGCGACCGGCGCACGGGUGAGUAACGCGUAUCCAACCUUCCCAUGACUGGGGAAUAACCUUGCGAAAGUAAGACUAAUACCCCAUGGUUUCCGAGGCGGACAUCCAAUUUGGAAUAAAGAUUCAUCGGUCAUGGAUGGGGAUGCGUCUGAUUAGCUUGUUGGCGGGGUAACGGCCCACCAAGGCGACGAUCAGUAGGGGUUCUGAGAGGAAGGUCCCCCACAUUGGAACUGAGACACGGUCCAAACUCCUACGGGAGGCAGCAGUGAGGAAUAUUGGUCAAUGGACGAGAGUCUGAACCAGCCAAGUAGCGUGCAGGAUGACGGCCCUAUGGGUUGUAAACUGCUUUUAUACGGGAAUAAAGUGGCUCACGUGUGGGUUUUUGUAUGUACCGUAUGAAUAAGGACCGGCUAAUUCCGUGCCAGCAGCCGCGGUAAUACGGAAGGUCCGGGCGUUAUCCGGAUUUAUUGGGUUUAAAGGGAGCGUAGGCCGCCGAUUAAGCGUGUUGUGGAAUGCCGCAGCUCAACUGUGGCACUGCAGCGCGAACUGGUUGGCUUGAGUGCGCGGAAGGCAGGCGGAAUUUGUGGUGUAGCGGUGAAAUGCUUAGAUAUCACGAAGAACCCCGAUUGCGAAGGCAGCUUGCCGCAGCGUAACUGACGCUGAAGCUCGAAAGUGCGGGUAUCGAACAGGAUUAGAUACCCUGGUAGUCCGCACGGUAAACGAUGGAUGCCCGCUGUUCCGGCUAUAUGUUGGAGUGGCCAAGCGAAAGCGUUAAGCAUCCCACCUGGGGAGUACGCCGGCAACGGUGCAACUCAAAGGAAUUGACGGA